UCAGGGUACUGCGGAGGACAUUAAUGAAUCUUGAAAGGGGUUGUAGCUGGCCUUUUCGUCUGAGAGGCAUUUUGUGCACACCCUGAUCAUUGUCCAUUUUCACACCUGUGCACCCUCUUGUAGGAUGGGCUGUUGGGAGUGGAGUCUAUGUCUGACUUCACUUUGUUGUGGCCUUCCUAUGUUUUAUCACAAACUACCAUGUUUAAAGAAUGUCAUCUGUGCUUAAUGCAUUUAUAUACAACUUUCAGCAACGGAUCUCUUGGCUCUCGCAUCGAUGAAGAACGCAGCGAAAUGCGAUAAGUAAUGUGAAUUGCAGAAUUCAGUGAAUCAUCGAAUCUUUGAACGCACCUUGCGCUCCUUGGUAUUCCGAGGAGCAUGCCUGUUUGAGUGUCAUGGAAUUCUCAACUCUACUCACUUUUGUGCUUAGAGCUUGGACUUGGAGGCUUUUUGCUGGACACCUGAGGUGUUCAGCUCCUCUUGAAUGCAUUGGCUCGAGUCCUUGAGUGGAUCAGCUUCGGUGUGAUAAUUAUCAUACGCCGUGCUGUGAAACAUUUUGAUUCAGGCUUGGGCUUCUAAUUGUCUCUUAGUAGACAAUCAAUUUGACCUCUGACCUCAAAUCAGGUAGGGUUACCCGCUGAACUUAAGCAUACUAA
RNAcentral lists this ribosomal RNA (653 nucleotides) under Rhodofomitopsis feei. RNAcentral's name for it is "eukaryotic LSU rRNA". The stretch from base 240 to 393 matches the Rfam family "5.8S ribosomal RNA". Lineage: Eukaryota; Fungi; Basidiomycota; Agaricomycetes; Polyporales; Fomitopsidaceae. The record is from RNAcentral.